UGCAAUCGGAUUAGCUAGAAGACAAAAAGAAAUCCCCGAUUGCUUCCUUCGCUGCCCCUCUCUCCUGUUUCUCUUCUCUGGAUUCCCCAAGCCAAAGCCAGCCGCCGCCGACUUCCCAACCCCGGCCUCCACUCCACCGCCGGCGGCCUCUCCCCCUCUCCCUGGACGCAUAUCCACUCGAGCAGCACAGCCCACGGUCAGAUCCGCCCCUCCGUCCUCGCGCCAGAAACCCUAGCCGUCCGGCGAUGGCGACCGACCGCAGGCACAGGCCUCGACGACGGUGGCGCCACGGAGCGGAGCUUCCUCUGCCCGGGACGCCGCUCAUGUGCUCGUCAAGGUCCGCUGCUCCUUCCUCCAGUCCCAGACCCAGGAUAAGCAGCAGCAGCAUGAAGGUACGACCCUCUCUCUUGAUUUCCUCUUAUUCCCUCCCUUUCCUUUCCCUAAGGCAUGGGAUUUGCUUUCCUUGGUAGGUGCACGCAUCUCCUCCUCCCUGCCAUUUGUUGUGUUGCUCCAUGAGCAUACCUUUCUAUAGUAGAGAUCUAAUAAGCUUCUGUUGAUUUUUUCAGAGGAAAAAAGUUACGUUUGCUUGACCAUAUCUAUCCUUUUAGUGAACUUUAAAACAGGCUAUUCAAGCAGGAGUAUGUGUAGACAUAUUUGUUGUAACUGAUGAAUACACCGAUUUGGCUUCGUCGAAGUGUUAAAGUAUUUAAAGUGGUGGCUCAUUAUUCUCUAUGCAAACUCGGAUGAUUCCACACUUGACCAGGACAUGUGUCGCCUGUUGAGUAGAUCCUAUGCAUUUGGUUGUGUUCUCAGGCUGAGAACAUCACAAGAUUUCGAUCCUAGCCACUCUGUAAGCCUUCAAGCUACCCGUAUUCACAUUAUCUGUAGGAUCAAAUCCCAUGUCUGUCACCGUAAAAAGUGUUUAACCCACCUUGGGUGCCACUGACCUGUUAGGUCUGGACCCACAUGCCAUUGAUGCAAUAGUGGCAUAACUGUUUCGAAAAAUUGCAGUGACAGAUAAGGAUUUAACACUUAACCAUACCAUCUAAUUUUUAAUGUAUCCAUCUUUUUGCAGUAUGGCCAUUUCUUGCCUGAUCCUCAAUAUGAAAAUGUGCAACAUAUUAACUGCUGUGAUUCAAUUCAGAUUGUCAUAGGUAAUUCGCAUAAUGGACUGUCAUAAAUAAUUUGCAUCAUGUUGUACCAACAGCCAAAGGGAGUGCAUGGUUCUACUAGCUUAUUUGUGUUCGAGCCUCCAACAGGCUAUGGAUGCCCCAAGAUUUGAAGCAUGUUACACAAAAAUACAUGAGUUCAUGGGGGAGCACGUCAAUAAGGCUGCUGCAUGAGUUCAUGUCAUCGGCAGUGGCUCGCUCGUCAACAAGGCCGAUGAAAUCAGGGGGAGCACGAGCGUGUCCGGGGACGGGCACACUUUAUGCUUCUUUAAUUCACUGCAGCAAAAUACUAACAGCAUCAACAUCGACAGCGUUCGUCACUCCCCUGACGGCGUCUCCGGUGCCAAAGGUGUCCGAUCGAACUCAGUUGGAGGCCAAACAGGUUCGGCUCUCGGACAUGCCAUCAAUAACGCUCGAUGACACCGAUACGCAGACUGUAAGUUUACCCCCUCAGCCCAUAUUGGUGUGAGACACCCUGCAUUUACAUGAUAUUGCUAGGAACGCGUGCAAAUUGCAUAAUUUGUUAUACAUGCUUACUUGAUCACCGAUGUGCUGUUAAUUGGACCUCAAGAAUAGAGAUGACACCUUACCAUAGGCAGCUCUUAAUUAUGUGCGCGUUAAUUCAAUUCUGAAAGUUGAUUCAAGUCUAUAGUGCUUCAAGUAGAUUCAUAGAAGCAAUUCCGUUAGUAUGUGAACAAAAACCUCAUCUUAUAUGUGUGGCCGGAGUUGCAGAAUAUGAAUAGGGGAAUGAUCAUAGAUGCCAACACCUACAGUGUGAUUUAUCUUGAUAGAGGUGCAAUGGAUUCGUAAGUAGUUUUGAUGUUUUUUCUAGAUAGCUCAAGUACUUAAGCUUCUGCAGUCAUGAAAAACAAAAGAAGGGACCAGUAGUCAGGUUCCAUUAAUCCUUCUAUAGGUGUUCUCUUUGAUGCCUUUCCCCCUUCAUUACCAUGACAAUGAUGCUUUCUCUGUUAACCUUCUCGGUGGUGUUGGGCGCUGUGCUCUUGACCUUGAAAGUGUAUUUGCAACUUUACUCAUAAUACCUUUGUGUGAUAGUGAGGCAAUUUAGUUGCAUGCCUUCAGUUACAAAAAAAGUCCUUGAAAUAAAAAAGAAAGAAAAAGUAACAAGAGUUGUUGAAAAUACGAAUGGGUCAUCAAUGGUCAUAGAACAGGAGAGCAAUUUGAAUGGACAAUGGAAACAUUUGUAAAAGAAGCAGCUAAACGGAGGCCGCUCGCCCAGAGUGUCUCGGAGGAGGAUGUCACACUGAUUACGAGUCGAGGGACUAGUCGAGACUAGUCGACAGACUAGUCUAUGAGUCGCAACUUGAGUGUCGACUACAAAUCUCGUGUAGACUACUUGGUGUAGUCGAGCAGUCGACAGACUAGUCUGGACUAGUCGAGCUAUUUGAGUCGAGCGACUCAAAAUUUUGAGGGGAUAAGUCACCCAGCCUGGCCGGAGCUCGUGCUCGGGCGGCAGCCAUGGCCGUGACAUGUAGGCGCGCGCGGCCCUGAGACGAGAGAGAAGGAAGAGAGAUAGAGGAGAGGAGAGGAGGAGGCAUGGAGGUGGUCGGCGGCAGCGGCAGGGGCCGGUGGAAGGCAGCUGGAGGCGCGGGUCACGCACGCGUGCUCCCGUGUGUGAUGGUGCUGGCGGCGGCAAUGGGAUCGAUCGGGAGCUAGGGUUCCAGUGACGGGAGCUAAGUAGGCUGGCCACUUGGGCCCAAAUGGGCCAGCUGGGGGGUGUUGUGUGGUGCUGGGCUGGGCCUGGCGAGCGUUGCCCAACACUUCUGGUUUUAUUGCAUACUGUACUGUUUAUAUAUACUACUACUAGUAGUUAUUAACAAUAGUUGAGUACUACAGUACCAUGUCGACUAGUCCAGCACUAGUCUAGACUAGUCACGAUUAGUCUAUGAGUCUCAACCUCGGAACGACUCGUCGACUCGUAAACCUUGGGAUGUCACUGCCGCUGGAUUGGCGGAUGACUACUUCUCGGUGGCGUAUGGAUGUCGCACUGUAUGGAUCUUGAUCUGUAGUUGGAUAGUUCCUGACCUCAUUCUAGGAGGCUGAUUGGAGCCUGGUACUUCACUUUUUUCCUUACUGAUAAAUGCUCAUGUUCAUUAAUUUGGUAAUGCUCAUGACAUUGCACAUGAGUUGCUGCGAGCCAAGCGAUAGAAAAGUUUGAAACUAAUGCUGCAGUUGAUGUUUCUUUUUGUUCUUCUUCAUGACAUUUUUUUGGGUUCAGCAUGUUGAUAAGAACUACUCCCUCUGUUUCCAAAUAUAAGUCUUUUUAGAGAUUUCAAUGUGGACUAGAUACGGAUGUAUAUAGACGGAUUUUAGAGUGAGAUUCACCCAUUCCACCGUAUGUAGUCCAUAUUGAAAUCUUCUAACAAGACUUAUAUUUAGGAACGGAGGGAGUACUUUGUUUGUAGUCUUUGUACAACCUGCUUUGUUCAGAAGAAUGUUCUAUCAGGCAACCAUGUCUGAUAUGUUCACAUGACUUCUUUCAUGUGGCCGUUCCUCACAUUCCUUUGCUUCCAAGUUCCAACUAUUCCAGUCAGCUGCAAUGAAGCCCUCCAUAGAGAAGGGUUUGCAGAUAAUGAUCUUGGCAUCCCAGAUAAGCAGGUCGGGGACAAAGCCAGUGCCGAGGGGGAUUUCAAUGGAUCACCAACACGAGAAACUGAAAUGGCAGGACCAGAAAAGAUGGUCCCAGAUCUCACUGCAGCAGGAUGUGCAAGAACACAUCAAUGAUCAUCUGUGAGACUAACACUGAAAUUUUGUUGAUGGAGCAUUAGCUCUGCUAUUUAGCUUCUAGAGUACAAUGACUUGUACGUACAACUAUAACAGCUAGCAGCAUGGUUUAUCCCCUUCUGGUUCUACUAUUUCUCUAGAGUGAUGGCAUAGGAAGAGCAUGUGUAUAUGUUGAGGUUAGUCUUCUGAAACUAAUGCUGCAGAUGUUCUUUGUAGACUCAGCAUGUGUAUUUAUUUUAUUUUUACUUCUUUG
Long non-coding RNA from Triticum aestivum (bread wheat), 4164 nucleotides. RefSeq lists it as uncharacterized. The transcript has 5 exons. NCBI's taxonomy places the organism in Eukaryota, Viridiplantae, Streptophyta, Magnoliopsida, Poales, Poaceae. The record is from RefSeq and is a predicted model, not a curated record.